UUUUAUUAGAUUUUGAUAAUUAAGUUUAAUCAAUACAACCCAAUUCAAGUCCAAUAAGCAGAUUAGGCAAGUUCAAGCUCAACAAGUAGAUGGACCCAAACCCAAUAAAGCAAAUGGGCCCAAGCCCAAGUCCAAAUCCAAUAAGGCAAAUGGGCCCAAGCUUAAGCCCAACAAGCAAAUUGGUCAAAGUCCAAGUCCAACAAGCAAAUGGGUCAAAGUCCACUUAAAGCCCACAAAAUUUCUCUAUAAAUAGAGACCUUUGUCAUUCAUUUGAGGAAGUCUUUGGUUGAAUGAAGAAUUGAAGCUCUGAAGUACUGAAGCUCUGAAGAAUUGAAGAUUCAAACUUCUACAAACUCUCAAGACGUGCAAGUUCGUAUCAACCUCGAGAUCAACAACUUCUGAAAGAUUGAAGACUUGGAAGAUUAAAUUUUCCUUGAAUUCCAUAAGAUCGAAGUUCAAAUCGACUUGCAACAACAACAUCCUGAAGACCAAAGAUCGAGAAGUUCUAAGUUUUAACUUGUAUUCGAGAGAAAACAUCAAAUGAGUAAAUACUAGAGAUUGUAUUCACAAUAUUCAAUAUUUAUCAAUAUAACAAAGUUCAAUUCCACGAAAUACAUUUCUUCGAAAUCUCGUGUGAACAGUUUGGCACGCCCAGUGGGACAAUCUCUACCUUUCAUCUCUUUCUCUUUUGAAGAACAUCUAAAGAUAUCAUGAUAUCUCAAGACAAUACUUCCAAAGCUCCAAGUGACAUCGGCAAGCAGCCAAAUACUCGUGGCCGCUCAAGGGAGACUAAAU
RNAcentral lists this long non-coding RNA (795 nucleotides) under Cucumis sativus (cucumber). Its description in RNAcentral is "long non-coding RNA (CSAT_LNC001560)". Lineage: Eukaryota; Viridiplantae; Streptophyta; Magnoliopsida; Cucurbitales; Cucurbitaceae. The record is from RNAcentral.